CUAAAAAUCUGAAAGCAUAAAGAUUAACUGACAUAAGUUAUGUUCUUGCGAAAAUAAAAGUUAUUCCACAAACGCAUUCGAUAAAACAUUCAAAACCUUCUUCAGAGUCAAAUCCGUGAACUGAUGAUCGAUAUAGCUUCUCACUAUAUAUCCUCUCUUCACUUCUUAGACUUCUUCUUCGGUUCACUGCACAAGCAAAGACCCAUACAUGAUUUAGGUAUCUUAACCAUUUUGACACAAAACUCAAUAUACAACACAAUUGAGAU
Molecule: long non-coding RNA, 266 nt
Filed under: Arabidopsis lyrata
Lineage: Eukaryota; Viridiplantae; Streptophyta; Magnoliopsida; Brassicales; Brassicaceae
Description: long non-coding RNA (ALYR_LNC002937)
Source: RNAcentral